CCAAAGUAACGGCGAGUGAAGCGGCAAAAGCUCAAAUUUGAAAUCGAAGCACCAGGUCGAGUUGUAAUUUGUAGAUUGUAUCUUGAGAGCGGAUUAAAGUCUGUUGGAACACAGCGCCUUAGAGGGUGACAGCCCCGUAAAAUCUAUUCUCAUUGUAAGAUACUUUCGAAGAGUCGAGUUGUUUGGGAAUGCAGCUCUAAGUGGGAGGUAAAUUCCUUCUAAAGCUAAAUAUUGACGAGAGACCGAUAGCGAACAAGUACUGUGAAGGAAAGAUGAAAAGCACUUUGAAAAGAGAGUGAAAAAGUACGUGAAAUUGUUAAAAGGGAAGGGUAUUGAAUCAGACUUGGUGCUGUUGUUCAACACCUGUGUUUCGGCAUAGUGUACUCAAAGCAGUACUAGGCCAAGGUGGGGUGUUUGGGAGUGAAAAAGAAGUUGGAACGUAACUCUUCGGAGUGUUAUAGCCUACUUUCAUAGCUCCUCAGGCGCCUCAGGACUGAACGCUUCGGCAAGGACCUUGGCAUUGAUUCUAUACCGCCCGUCUCCAA
RNAcentral lists this ribosomal RNA (545 nucleotides) under Geotrichum candidum. RNAcentral describes it as "partial large subunit ribosomal RNA". It matches the Rfam family "Eukaryotic large subunit ribosomal RNA", at positions 78 to 658 of the family's 3401-position model. Lineage: Eukaryota; Fungi; Ascomycota; Dipodascomycetes; Dipodascales; Dipodascaceae. The record is from RNAcentral.